This 54-nucleotide transfer RNA is filed under the name Mniarogekko chahoua (Bavay's giant gecko). Its description in RNAcentral is "tRNA-Cys". The record is from RNAcentral. Lineage: Eukaryota; Metazoa; Chordata; Lepidosauria; Squamata; Diplodactylidae.
AGCCCCGUAGUGAGUGACACGUCAAAUUGCAAAUUUGAAAAGGCCCCAUUUUGG